Molecule: ribosomal RNA, 253 nt
Filed under: uncultured bacterium
Lineage: Bacteria
Description: partial 16S ribosomal RNA
Rfam family: Bacterial small subunit ribosomal RNA
Source: RNAcentral
UACAGAGGUGGCAAGCGUUGUUCGGAAUUACUGGGCGUAAAGGGCGCGUAGGCGGUCAGGUCAGUCCCGUGUGAAAUCCCUCGGCUUAACCGGGGAACUGCAUCUGAUACUGGAUGGCUUGAGUUCGGGAGAGGGAUGCGGAAUUCCAGGUGUAGCGGUGAAAUGCGUAGAUAUCUGGAGGAACACCGGUGGCGAAGGCGGCAUCCUGGACCGACACUGACGCUGAGGAGCGAAAGCCAGGGGAGCAAACGGG